Molecule: ribosomal RNA, 595 nt
Filed under: Amphisbetia operculata
Lineage: Eukaryota; Metazoa; Cnidaria; Hydrozoa; Leptothecata; Sertulariidae
Description: partial 16S ribosomal RNA
Rfam family: Bacterial large subunit ribosomal RNA
Source: RNAcentral
AGCCCUAGAGAUUAUCUAAGGUGUAACCUGCCCAAUGAUUUUAAAAUAAAUAAAUAAAAGUUAUGAAAUAAAAUUAAAAGGACGCGGUAACCUUGACCGUGAUAAUGUAGCAUAAUCAUUCGCCAUUUAAUUGAUGGAUAGUAUGAAUGGUUGAACGAAUAUUUCACUGUCUUAAAAAGAAAUAACAAAAAAUUGGAAUAAUAGUAAAGAUACUAUUUAAGAUUGUAAGACGAAAAGACCCUAUAGAGCUUAACUAUAAUCUCUUUAAAUUAAAAGAAAUAUUUUCAAAAACAAAGAGAUUGGUAGUUUAGUUGGGGCGACUAUCUUUUAAAAAUAACAAAGAUAAGCAAAGUAAAUAAAAACACUUAUUGUAUAAUUAAUUAAUUUAACAAUUAUAAAAAUAGGCUAUAAUGACCCGUUAUUAUUUUAUAAAUAAAAAUAACGAUCAAUAAAUAAAAGCUACCUUAGGGAUAACAGGAUAAUUUUAUUUUAGAGAUCUUAUCGAAAAUAAAGUUUGUCACCUCUAUGUUGAAUUAAGAUAUCCUGACAAUGCAGAAGUUGUCAAAGGUGGGUCUGUUCGACCCUUAAAAUCUUA